AGAGUUUGAUUAUGGCUCAGGAUGAACGCUGGCGGCGUGCCUAACACAUGCAAGUUGAGCGAUUACUUCGGUAAAGAGCGGCGGACGGGUGAGUAACGCGUGGGUAACCUGCCUCAUACACAUGGAUAACAUACCGAAAGGUAUGCUAAUACAGGAUAAUAUAAGAGAUUCACAUGGAUUUCUUAUCAAAGCUCCGGCGGUAUGAGAUGGACCCGCGUCUGAUUAGCUAGUUGGUAAGGUAAUGGCUUACCAAGGCGACGAUCAGUAGCCGACCUGAGAGGGUGAUCGGCCACAUUGGAACUGAGACACGGUCCAAACUCCUACGGGAGGCAGCAGUGGGGAAUAUUGCACAAUGGGCGAAAGCCUGAUGCAGCAACGCCGCGUGAGUGAUGAAGGCCUUCGGGUCGUAAAACUCUGUCCUCAAGGAAGAUAAUGACGGUACUUGAGGAGGAAGCCCCGGCUAACUACGUGCCAGCCGCCGC
This 482-nucleotide ribosomal RNA is filed under the name uncultured bacterium. Its description in RNAcentral is "bacterial SSU rRNA". It matches the Rfam family "Bacterial small subunit ribosomal RNA", at positions 8 to 518 of the family's 1533-position model. The record is from RNAcentral.